Molecule: ribosomal RNA, 405 nt
Filed under: uncultured bacterium
Lineage: Bacteria
Description: partial 16S ribosomal RNA
Rfam family: Bacterial small subunit ribosomal RNA
Source: RNAcentral
AUUGAACGCUGGCGGCAGGCCUACCACAUGCAAGUCGAACGAGUGGCGGACGGGUGAGUAAUGUCUGGGAAACUGCCUGAUGGAGGGGGAUAACUACUGGAAACGGUAGCUAAUACCGCAUACCAUCAGAUGUUCCCCGAUGGGAUUAGCUUGUUGGGGGGGUAACGGCUCACCAAGGCGACGAUCCCUAGCUGGUCUGAGAGGAUGACCAGCAAAACGGGAACGGAGAAACGGUCCAGACUCCUACGGGAGGAAGCGGGGGGGAAUAUUGAACAAUGGGCGCAAGCCUGAUGCAGCCAGGCCGGGUGUAUGAAGAAGGCCUUCGGGUUGUAAAGAACUUUCAGCGGGGAGGCGUUACCCGAAGAAGAAGCACCGGCAAACUCCGUGCCAGCAGCCGCGGUAAUA